RNAcentral lists this ribosomal RNA (468 nucleotides) under uncultured bacterium. RNAcentral's name for it is "partial 16S ribosomal RNA". It matches the Rfam family "Bacterial small subunit ribosomal RNA", at positions 28 to 507 of the family's 1533-position model. The record is from RNAcentral.
GACGAACGCUGGCGGCGUGCUUAACACAUGCAAGUCGAACGGAAAGGCCCUGCUUUUGUGGGGUGCUCGAGUGGCGAACGGGUGAGUAACACGUGAGUAACCUGCCCUUGACUUUGGGAUAACUUCAGGAAACUGGGGCUAAUACCGGAUAGGAGCUCCUGCUGCAUGGUGGGGGUUGGAAAGUUUCGGCGGUUGGGGAUGGACUCGCGGCUUAUCAGCUUGUUGGUGGGGUAGUGGCUUACCAAGGCUUUGACGGGUAGCCGGCCUGGGAGGGUGAACGGCCACCAUGGGACUGAGAUACGGCCCAGACGCCUACGGGGGGCAGCAGUGGGGAAUAUUGCACAAUGGGCGGAAGCCUGAUGCAGCAACGCCGCGUGCGGGAUGAAGGCCUUCGGGGUGUAAACCGCUUUCGCCUGUGACGAAGCGGUAGUGACGGUAAUGGGUAAAGAAGCACCGGCUAACUACGUG